This 75-nucleotide transfer RNA is filed under the name Thermoprotei archaeon. RNAcentral describes it as "tRNA-Gly". It matches the Rfam family "tRNA". Rfam says of the family: Transfer RNA (tRNA) molecules are approximately 80 nucleotides in length. Their secondary structure includes four short double-helical elements and three loops (D, anti-codon, and T loops). Lineage: Archaea; Thermoproteati; Thermoproteota; Thermoprotei. The record is from RNAcentral.
GCGGCCGUCGUCUAGCAUGGUCUAGGACGCUGGCCUCCCGAGCCAGCGACCCGGGUUCAAAUCCCGGCGGCCGCA